Molecule: ribosomal RNA, 241 nt
Filed under: uncultured Staphylococcus sp.
Lineage: Bacteria; Bacillati; Bacillota; Bacilli; Caryophanales; Staphylococcaceae
Description: partial 16S ribosomal RNA
Rfam family: Bacterial small subunit ribosomal RNA
Source: RNAcentral
CGGACGGGUGAGUAACACGUGGAUAACCUACCUAUAAGACUGGGAUAACUUCGGGAAACCGGAGCUAAUACCGGAUAAUAUAUUGAACCGCAUGGUUCAAUAGUGAAAGACGGUUUUGCUGUCACUUGUAGAUGGAUCCGCGCCGCAUUAGCUAGUUGGUAAGGUAACGGCUUACCAAGGCAACGAUGCGUAGCCGACCUGAGAGGGUGAUCGGCCACACUGGAACUGAGACACGGUCCAG